UUGAGUCAUGAAGUCGUAUGUUACGACAAUAACAGGUUCAUGCUAAGUCAAGUGAAAGAGAGAACAGGAACAUUUAAAUAACGGAUUUACAAAUACAAUGAGAUGCAGUCUUUGGAAUAAUGGUGGAUUUAUAGAAGCAUCGUUGGCUCUGUCCUACUGUGGAUUACCUCAUGAUAACACGAACGGACGGCUACGGAUGGCUGGAGGCCUACCCGUGACAAUACUGUCCAACCCACAACCUCUCCCCCACAGAAUGUCUUGAAAGGGAUGUGUGGACGCCUACGACAGGAUCAGAACCAUCAGG
Haliotis rubra (blacklip abalone) is the source of this 304-nucleotide long non-coding RNA. RefSeq lists it as uncharacterized. The record is from RefSeq and is a predicted model, not a curated record. The transcript is spliced from 3 exons. NCBI's taxonomy places the organism in Eukaryota, Metazoa, Mollusca, Gastropoda, Lepetellida, Haliotidae.